Molecule: transfer RNA, 64 nt
Filed under: Holochlora fruhstorferi
Lineage: Eukaryota; Metazoa; Arthropoda; Insecta; Orthoptera; Tettigoniidae
Description: tRNA-Leu
Rfam family: tRNA
About the family: Transfer RNA (tRNA) molecules are approximately 80 nucleotides in length.
Source: RNAcentral
ACUAUUUUGGCAGAUUAGUGCUUUGGAUUUAGAAUCCAAUUAUGUAAAUUAUUUACAGAUAGUA